This is a non-coding RNA of Chiloscyllium plagiosum (whitespotted bambooshark), 900 nucleotides long. The record is from RefSeq and is a predicted model, not a curated record. Lineage: Eukaryota; Metazoa; Chordata; Chondrichthyes; Orectolobiformes; Hemiscylliidae.
GCCUUACUUAAGGUCAUGUCAUGGAUCACGGAGGUGUUAGCUGUGGCUCAAUCCAAAGUCUGUGUUCAUUGUCAAUGCCAUCACUAAACAGUGCUGCAACAGUGCACGUGCAGAUUUGAAGUGCCGUGUUACUGCAGGAUGGAGUCAAACACCUCAGUGUUGGCACACUGUAAUCAAUUUUCUGAGCAUCGUUAUAGUAUGGCAGAUUGGAAUGUUCAAAUCCAUGCCCAGUCCAAUUGCUGACUUUUGAUUGCAGCUGGAAUAACAGUUUAUAUGAAUCAGGAGAAAGAUUUCCUUCACCAAUGUCAUCUUGACAAAUGCAUCAUGGUGAAGAAGGCUCUGUUGCAACAGUGUGAUGUGUGCACGUGCAGACAGUGACAUCCAUCUCUGCCAGCCACAUUCACAUUAGCAACACACUCUCCACAAUCCAAAAUGCGAAACCUCCAAACUUCAGCAUUUUAUCAGCGAUUACUUUCCCCAGUGUUGGGUUCAAGCCCACUCCAUUGCCUUGGACACACUAUGUUGCUGGCAGCAGUGCAACACUAAAGAAAUAUUGUGUUUUGGAGUUGCCCCAUUUGGAUGAAAUGUUAAAUCAAGACCCUUUCUACCCUUCUGAGGUAUCAGGUGGAUAUAAAAAUAAUCCUAUGGCACAUUCAACGAAGAGGAGAGGAGUUCUCCGUGAUGUGGUACCCAUCAACUGACAGCUCCAGCAGAUGUUCAGCAUAAUUGUGUGACCUAUUUGAAAGGGGGCAAGGCGCACCAGGGUCGCCCAUAGCACAACUGAAAUCAAACUGGCACACAACACCUCGACCGGCUGCUUCUCUGCCCCAUUCAGAGGUUGGAUUUUUCGAUUGUUCAAUGAGAUGCAUUUGGGAGACAAUGUUGCAAAGACUGGUGAAU